Long non-coding RNA from Megalobrama amblycephala (Wuchang bream), 1699 nucleotides. RefSeq lists it as uncharacterized. The record is from RefSeq and is a predicted model, not a curated record. The transcript is spliced from 3 exons. Lineage: Eukaryota; Metazoa; Chordata; Actinopteri; Cypriniformes; Xenocyprididae.
UGACAAUGCCUCCUGUGUGUAUGAGAGAGGAAGAGGGAGAAAUGGCAGGAUGUGCUGGAGAGAAAUAAGGAAAGAAAAGGUCUAGAUAAAGGAGAGCAGUGGCUUCAUUCUGCAUGUGCUUUCACCUUUUGUAAAUGAAUCCGGUCUGAGAUGUCUAGCUCGAUGCACCUAUGUGUCUGCUUGUUGUCUAAUCUAAACGCACUCAUUCAAGCAAACAUGCGUGUAAAGAGGAGCGCGCCUACCGAUGUGUCGUUGAGCGCAUCUGUCGGCCCUGAUCAUGAGACCAGAGCAGGUGACAGAUGAGGUCCGUCACCCCCACACACACACACACACACACACACACACACACACACACACACAUGCGAAUACACACUAUGGGGAGGUAUGAAGUCCUGUACACACUUUCGUUGGCAAUCAUGCAAAGCGAUUUGAUGAGAGACAGCCUGUCGAGUUGAUUGACAGGCCUGCUAACAGGAGGUGAAGGCAGCGAUGAGGCGACAUCGAGAGCAGAAGAGCAGAGGCUGGCGAAGUUUGACUCUGGAUGAGUACGAAAAGUGAAAAUUGCUGCCGCCUUAAGACAUAUGAAGGUAGGAAGACAUUGAGAUACAUCCAAACCCAUUGUAUGCAUAACAUGUUCUGAAGUGCAUAACUAAACAAUAAAUCCCUAAAGUUGAUAUUAUAUAUAUUUACACCUAUAAAUUCUAAUCAAUUAUUAUAAUAUUUUAUUGUAAUAUCAAAAACUCGACGUAUUCAUCCUGGGCAUGCGGUUAGUAAGUUAUUUCCCCAUUUUAUGAUUCUAACAUGAAAGAAGCACUUUGUCGCUUUUUAAAUGCUUAUUUUUGUCUGUAUUAUUGGCUUAAAUGUAGUGGUGAAUUAUACCUUCAAAUAUAUUUAUUCUUACAGGACCUCAUUUGAAUUCCCUUUUUAUCUCCUUUAAUUAUAUUCAGCCAUCUCAGUAGCAUCAUUAAGUCUUUAACCCCGCUUGUAAAUGACCCAUGUAGCGUCUACAGGGUCACUGAUAAUCAGUGUUUAUGGGUCCUUGUUAAACGUGCAGGUUCAUCUUAACUAAUUAAGCUGUCUUUUCUGAGCUCAGUUCUACAGUGCACUUUUAUUGUUCAUGUGAUUAAGGAAUUAAAGGUGACAGAAUGUCUUUAUGUUCAAGAUAGAUGUCAUGAUAAAGGGAGAGACGUAACAUGUAAAAUCUGAAAAGACAAGGCAAAACUUCAGACUCCAAGAAAAAUCUCUUAAGCUUCCUCUGGAUUGGUCUAGUGAGAGUGAGUUGAAAAAUAAAAUAUCCUUUUAAAUAAGAGAAAGACAUAGAAUUUAAGUAGACAGAUCUAUAAUAAAUGUAAAUUAGAAGUGUGUAGAUGUGGUUUGUGAGCCAGAGAGAGAGAGAGAAAAAAGAGGCCAGCAGGCUGUUUGUGUAUGAGCAGGGAGCCAUGUGUAUGAACUAACGUCUUAAUUGGUGUGAAUGGCAACGUCCGCUACCUGACCAGAAUCAUUAAUCAGAGCGGAUGAGAGCUGGAGGGUGUCAGCCUCUCCGUUCACACACACACUUAAGCGUAAUGCUACUGUUACAGCUGUGACUGUCACACUCUGGUACUCGGUAAUACCAGCAAAGGCCAGAAGAGAGGAAAUGCUAAUUAAGAAACAUAGUCACAAACAACCCGGUCCCAUGGAUUCAUAGCCAUAUCAAUAC